This 253-nucleotide ribosomal RNA is filed under the name uncultured bacterium. Its description in RNAcentral is "partial 16S ribosomal RNA". It matches the Rfam family "Bacterial small subunit ribosomal RNA", at positions 524 to 776 of the family's 1533-position model. The record is from RNAcentral.
UACAGAGGUCCCGAGCGUUGUUCGGAUUCACUGGGCGUAAAGGGUGCGUAGGUGGCGAUGAAAGUUCGAUGUGAAAUCUCCGGGCUUAACCCGGAAAAGGCAUUGAAAACUAUGUUGCUUGAGGUUUGGAGGGGGGACUGGAAUUCUUGGUGUAGCAGUGAAAUGCGUAGAUAUCAAGAGGAACACCAGUGGCGAAGGCGGGUCCCUAGACAACACCUGACACUGAGGCACGAAAGCUAGGGGAGCAAACAGG